UCCGUAGGUGAACCUGCGGAAGGAUCAUUACGAAUACGGACGUCACGUCCGCCUUCAUCCACAUCCCUUGUGAAUUCAUCCCUGUUGCUUCGGCGGGCCUGCGUCCCACGCGCCCGACUGUCUUCCGUCUACCCGGAGGGCGGUUGGAGCGCCCGCCAGAAGACCAGUUUUUAAACCUUUUGUUUUGGUGCAUGUCUGAAUCUUACCUAAUAAAUAAAACUUUCAACAACGGAUCUCUUGGUUCUCGCAUCGAUGAAGAACGCAGCGAAAUGCGAUAAGUAAUGUGAAUUGCAGAAUUCAGUGAAUCAUCGAAUCUUUGAACACACAUUGCGCCCUUUGGUAUUCCGAGGGGCACGUCUGUGUGAACGUCAUUUAAACACCCAAGCCCUGCUUGGUGAUGGAGACGGCUUUCGCCGUCGUCCGCAAUCCGUCGGCUGCGGCGCCCGUCCGUGAAAGUAGUGAGACACAUCUUUCUGCGGAUGUCGGCAUGCCCUGCAGGCCCAACGAACCCCCCAAAUACUUGACUUCACAUCAGGCGAGGUUACCCGCUGAACUUAAGCAUAUCAAUAAGCGGAGGAAAAGAAACCAACUGGGAUUGCCUCAGUAACGGCGAGUGAAGCGGCAAGAGCUCAAAUUUGAAAUCUGGCUUCGGCCCGAAUUGUAAUUUGUAGAGGUGUCUUUGGCGUACGUGUCGGUCCACGUUCCUUGGAACAGGAUGGCGUAGAGGGUGAGAUCCCCGUUCACGACCGGUGACCGUCGCCAUGUAUAGACCCUUCGACGAGUCGAGUUGUUUGGGAAUGCAGCUCAAAAUGGGUGGUAAAUUUCAUCUAAAGCUAAAUAUUGGCGAGAGACCGAUAGCGCACAAGUAGAGUGAUCGAAAGAUGAAAAGCACUUUGAAAAGAGAGUCAAAAAGUACGUGAAAUUGUUGAAAGGGAAGCGCUUGCAACCAGACUCUUUUGCGGUUGAUCAUCACCCCUUCUGGGUUGUGCACUCUGCCGUUUUAGGGACAGCAUCGGUUGAUGCGGCGGGACAAAGGCGGCGGGAAUGUGGCUCUCUUCGGGGAGUGUUAUAGCCCGCUGUGCAAUGCCGUCAGCGUCGACCGAGGACUGCGUUAUGCCAGGAUGCUGUCAUAAUGGUUGUCAGCGACCCGUCUUGAAACACGGACCAAGGAGUCUAACAUCUAUGCGAGUGUUCGGGUGUCAAACCCAAGCGCGUAAUGAAAGUGAACGGGGUGGGAGCCCGCAAGGGUGCACCAUCGACCGAUCCUGA
This 1269-nucleotide unclassified non-coding RNA is filed under the name Dothideomycetes sp. KO-groupH 2014. RNAcentral's name for it is "partial contains ITS1, 5.8S rRNA, ITS2 and LSU". The stretch from base 522 to 1269 matches the Rfam family "Eukaryotic large subunit ribosomal RNA", at positions 1 to 774 of the family's 3401-position model. The record is from RNAcentral. Lineage: Eukaryota; Fungi; Ascomycota; Dothideomycetes.